UCUGACUUAGAUCAACUAUGAGCUGCAGACCCCACUUGAUGCAUCCAUCCCACGCUAAAGCUGGUCAGCCUCAGGCACUGGAGCACCAGUAGACUCAAAUUCAGGAUCUCACUUGGAUAACAGGCCUGACACCGCCGCGCCGCUUCUCUAGCGCCAACCCUCGCUCUCAAGCCAGCAGGGGAACGAGUAAGACCAGAGUCUCCAAGGAAAUUAGCGUCUUUAACCCUCAAGGUGCAUGAAUUACAUCUCAUUAAACGGCCCAGUGCCUUUCCCAUGCUUCGGUCA
Molecule: long non-coding RNA, 285 nt
Organism: Ornithorhynchus anatinus (platypus)
Lineage: Eukaryota; Metazoa; Chordata; Mammalia; Monotremata; Ornithorhynchidae
Exons: 3
Source: RefSeq, a predicted model, not a curated record